Molecule: transfer RNA, 72 nt
Filed under: Phycisphaeraceae bacterium
Lineage: Bacteria; Pseudomonadati; Planctomycetota; Phycisphaerae; Phycisphaerales; Phycisphaeraceae
Also listed under: 2 other names
Description: tRNA-Thr
Rfam family: tRNA
About the family: Transfer RNA (tRNA) molecules are approximately 80 nucleotides in length. Their secondary structure includes four short double-helical elements and three loops (D, anti-codon, and T loops).
Source: RNAcentral
GCCGCCUUAGCUCAGUGGUAGAGCAGUGGUUUUGUAAACCACAGGUCCCCGGUUCGAAUCCGGGCGGCGGCU